RNAcentral lists this long non-coding RNA (1540 nucleotides) under Parus major (Great Tit). RNAcentral's name for it is "lncRNA (ENSPMJG00000018996.1)". The record is from RNAcentral. Lineage: Eukaryota; Metazoa; Chordata; Aves; Passeriformes; Paridae.
GUACAAGCUCUCAGAAGACACAGCAGGAUCAGCACUUCACGAGACAUCAGCCUCAUCCCCCUGCACUCAGCACCCACAGCACAUCCAGCAGAGCACCACAGGAACCUGUGAGGAGGGAUUAGUCCCACGUGCCUCCCUCAGCAUUAGCACAAACUGCAGCAUGGAAAGCCCAGCAAUUCCCAGGAACACUUUAUUUAUUGCAACCCAGGCUUUAUCUGCUCAGAAAAGAAGAGGAGCCAAGCAUGGCAGGGCUGGCUGUUCUUUUGGAUGCUUCUUUCCUGUCUCCCAUCCAAAGUGUAAUGAAGGAAAGCCUCAGGCAGAGAACUCACUUGGAGCAAGAGGUAACACCAAUGCUGGUCUAAAUGCCUCUUUGCAAAAGGCAAUCUUAUUCCUAACACCCAGCUCUUCCAUAUUUCACUGUCAGGGGAUUUUUCACACCUGUAUGGGACAGGCCUGAGGGGUCAGACUGAAAAAAGGAUUUCAGUGAAGAAGCUCCAGUCCAACACUGGGAUCCUCAGAGCUGUCUGAUCCUGGAGGUACCCCCAGAUCCACACACACGAGUGAGGCCAGAGCAGCUGUGGAGUGCAGAUAUGACAGAUGUGGCUUGAAAGAACCCGGGGAAAGUGCACAGCAACCUGGGAGUGCUUUGUACUGAAGAACAGAGAUUCUCUGGGACACAAAGAGAAGUUAAAGCUGCUCGGCCCUGUCUGUUCUCCGGUCGUACCCAGCUGCCACUUAGAACAAGGAACAAACAGAGAAGAGAAAUUGGGAAUUUGAAGCCUGCAGGAUUCCUGGCUGUUAAGAGAAUAAACAAUGAUUUGCACCCCACAACCAAGUCCAGAUCAGAGGAGACAAUGCAAGGCAGGGAUGUCACUGCAAUGGGAGCAGGGAUGCAGUGGCUCUGUGUCACAGGCGCUGAAUCACAGGCAGUGCCCUGGAGAACGGAACAGGAGGGAAGGAAAGGUGAAGAACCUCUUCGGGAACACCUGGUCCAUGCCCUGCAGCAGGGAACAGCUGUUCCUCUGAGAUUUUCCUCAAAUUUUCCCUGUUACACCUUGGAUCACAUCCAGUCCCUCGUACUGUUCCAGGAAACACUAAGAAGAAAACGGGAACUGAAGAACAGCAAAUCACUUUUUAAACUGACAACAGAUUAUAAUCUCCCCUUUCCCCACCAAACUGAGGGAGCAGAAAGAGGCUUUUAAGAGAUUUUAUUCCUGUUAUACCCAGCUUCCACUUUUCAUCCCCACACAAGGCAGAAGAAAGCCUUGCAAGCCAUUUCUCCAACCAAAACACUGCAAAUCCCUUCAGACUGGACCAUGGAGCUUUUCCUUUCCAAGCCCUCCCUAAAGUCAGACUUACCAACAAACAUAAAUGCAAAUAUGAGUUCUACAAAUCCAUUUUAAGUGGCUUCAUCAUCUGUUUUUUAACUGACAUGCCUUCACUUUUUGCCAAAUGUAUUUCAUGUACAUAUGUCUGUUUCCUAUCAUCUUUUCCAUUUCUCUUAUCACUUGUAUUUUAAUAAACUACAUGUACAGAUUCA